This 485-nucleotide ribosomal RNA is filed under the name uncultured bacterium. RNAcentral describes it as "bacterial SSU rRNA". It matches the Rfam family "Bacterial small subunit ribosomal RNA", at positions 771 to 1261 of the family's 1533-position model. The record is from RNAcentral.
AACCGGAUUAGAUACCCGGGUAGUCCACGCCCUGAACGAUGUCUACUAGUUGUCGGGUUUUAAUUAACUUGGUAACGCAGCUAACGCGUGAAGUAGACCGCCUGGGGAGUACGGUCGCAAGAUUAAAACUCAAAGGAAUUGACGGGGACCCGCACAAGCGGUGGAUGAUGUGGAUUAAUUCGAUGCAACGCGAAAAACCUUACCUACCCUUGACAUGUCAGGAAUCCUCGAGAGAUCGGGGAGUGCCCGAAAGGGAACCUGAACACAGGUGCUGCGUGGCUGUCGUCAGCUCGUGUCGUGAGAUGUUGGGUUAAGUCCCGCAACGAGCGCAACCCUUAUCAUUAGUUGCUACGCAAGAGCACUCUAAUGAGACUGCCGGUGACAAACCGGAGGAAGGUGGGGAUGACGUCCAGUCCUCAUGGCCCUUAUGGGUAGGGCUUCACACGUCAUACAAUGGUACAUACGGAGGGCCGCCAACCCGCGAG